UACGUAGGCAGCGAGCGUUGUUCGGAGUUACUGGGCGUAAAGGGUGUGUAGGCGGUCCUCUAAGUUUGGUGUGAAAUCUCCCGGCUCAACCGGGAGGGUGCGCCGAAAACUGGGGGGCUAGAGUGCGGGAUGGGUAAGUGGAAUUCCUGGUGUAGCGGUGAAAUGCGUAGAUAUCUGGAGGAAUACCGGUGGCGAAGGCGGCAUCCUGGACCGACAUUGACGCUGAGGAGCGAAAGCUAGGGGAGCAAACGGG
Molecule: ribosomal RNA, 253 nt
Filed under: uncultured bacterium
Lineage: Bacteria
Description: partial 16S ribosomal RNA
Rfam family: Bacterial small subunit ribosomal RNA
Source: RNAcentral